AGUGAACGCUGGCGGUAGGCCUAACACAUGCAAGUCGAACGGCAGCACAGUAAGAGCUUGCUCUUACGGGUGGCGAGUGGCGGACGGGUGAGGAAUACAUCGUAAUCUACUUUUUCGUGGGGGAUAACGUAGGGAAACUUACGCUAAUACCGCAUACGACCUACGGGUGAAAGCAGGGGAUCUUCGGACCUUGCGCGAUUGAAUGAGCCGAUGUCGGAUUAGCUAGUUGGGGGGGUAAAGGCCCACCAAGGCGACGAUCCGUAGCUGGUCUGAGAGGAUGAUCAGCCACACUGGAACUGAGACACGGUCCAGACUCCUACGGGAGGCAGCAGUGGGGAAUAUUGGACAAUGGGCGCAAGCCUGAUCCAGCCAUACCGCGUGGGUGAAGAAGGCCUUCGGGUUGUAAAGCCCUUUUGUUGGGAAAGAAAAGCAGCAGGUUAAUACCCCGCUGUUCUGACGGUACCCAAAGAAUAAGCACCGGCUAACUUCGUG
This 492-nucleotide ribosomal RNA is filed under the name uncultured bacterium. RNAcentral's name for it is "partial 16S ribosomal RNA". It matches the Rfam family "Bacterial small subunit ribosomal RNA", at positions 29 to 507 of the family's 1533-position model. The record is from RNAcentral.